CAAACUAAAAUGGAUCAAACACAAUUUACAUGGCAAAUGCCAUGAAAGAUCUACAGCGGCCUUCAACAUCAACGUCGACUAGCGUAAAUAUUAUCACAAAUUUCGACACCUUCGACCCUAAAACGGAAAGUUUUAAAACAUAUAAGGAACGCAUAUAGCUGCAUUUUCAAUUUUUACGGCAUCAAUCAAGUAAUCGAUACUUAUCAAAAGGAUAAAUCAAUAUCAUCUGUAGAUACACACAAAUUUUUAUCAACGUGGAAAUUGAAGGCAAAGAUCAAAAUUUCGAAGUGGAUUCCGGAUUCCGUAUAGCCAGCUAUACGCUAAUACCACGAAGUGAUUAUUUCAAAUUAAAAAAAGAAGCCUAUGCGGAGAACCAACAUAGCGUUUGUAACCCUUGCUGUCGUCGACAUAAGCGUCAAAUACAAAAUAAAACAUCAAAAGAAGAAAUGUACGUCGAAUUAGAAAAAUAUUCUCCUCUUUUGGGACGUGUAUGGAUUAGACAUUUACAAAUAAAUCUAUGAGAUAUCGACAAGGAAUGUUCAAAGGACUACAAUAAAGGAAAAUACAUGGUAAAUUCUAUUGAAAAAAUCGUCGAAAAAUAUGCUGAAAUCUUCAAGCCAAAAGUUGGAUUUAUUCUCGAUGCUAUGCGUUGCCUCAAACUUCAAAAAGAUGCCAAACCAGUAUUUGUUCGUGAACGGCAAGUGCUAGAUUGUUAGGAGCGUGAUGGCAUUAUAACAAUGGUAAACACUAGUCUGUGGGGAUCACCACUGGUAGUAAUUCCUAAGUCAGAUGGGAAUGUGCGUCUUUGUGUCGACUUUAAAGUGGGUGUCAACCCUCAACUAGGGACGGCACAUUACCCAAUCAAACGCAUCGACGAAAUUUUCAACACACUAAAAAACUCCAGUUUUUUUGCAAGUUAGAUCUAUAUAAGGCGUACCUUCAUGUUCGAAUCGGCGACGACAGUAAAAAUAUUCAAACGAUAUCAACUCACAGAGGUAUAUACAAUAGUAUGCAUCGACUAUCUUUUGGAUUAAAAACAGCUCCUAGUGAAUUCAACGAUUAAAGAGUGUGAAGAUCGUCUCAUCAAACCUCUGGAUAGAUUGCAACUUAAUUAAUUACACAUAAACAAAAGCCAAUGUGAGUUUUUUAAAACUCAAUUAAAAUAUUUAGGCUACGUAGUUAGCUUCAAUGAUUACAUACUGUUCAAAAUUUGUACCAGACGUUUCAACAAUAACACACCCGUUGCCCCAACUCCUAGAGGAAGGUGAACGUCAGAAUGUGAAAGUGUAUUUGAAAAACUAAAACAGGAGAUUAUUGCUGAUAGGGUAUUAACAAUGCGUCAUUGCCGGUACAAUUGACUGGUGACGCCAGUCCAACAGGUAUAGCAGCUGUGCUGUUACAUAUAAACGGAGUAGAACGCACUGUAGCAUUCAUUUCUAGAGCCUUAACCAAGGCCGAGCUAAAUUAAAGUCAACUAGACCGCGAGGCCUUAGCGAUAGUGUUUGCAGUUGAUGAAUUAUACACAUACCUGAAUGCAAGAGAGUUUACGUUCAUUACCGACAAUCGACCACUUUCCAGAAUUUUCCACCAAAACGCAAAAACUCCAGCUGUGACUUCUGCAAGACUUUUCAGGUAUGCAUCUUUUUUACAAAAUUUUAAUUACAAGGUUGAACAUCGCAAAGGCGAACACAAUACAAAUGCCGAUUGUUUAUCUAGAGCACCAAUAACCAGUAGCAACAAUUUGUAUCACUUCUUGGACGAAGAGGUAAAAAUGAUUUAAGAUCAAAUCAUCCACCAAAUAUCAUCAACAUCGAUUACUGCGUUAACCAUAAAACACGAAACAGAUUAAGAUCAAGACCUUGUAAAGCUAAGAAAAUACAUUUUGAACGAAAAAACCCCAUCUUUUCACUUCAAGAAGGAAUCAUUUUUCGAGGCAAUCGUGUUCUCAUUCUAACAACUUUACGUUCCAGCAUAAUUAAAGAACUGCAUCAUACGCACUUUGCAUUGUGACAUUAAAGAAAUGGUGAAAGCUUGCUCCGAUUGUGCCAAUAUUAUGAAGAAUCCAGCGAAAGUUCUUACGCACCAAUGGGAAGAACCAGACGCAAAAUCAAAAUGGCCCGAAGUGAAAGUCAUUAAAAAAGCGGCAACAACUGAAAGAACAAUAGACCUUCCACAAAAUAUUUUUCCGCACAUAGACUUCCAAAAAUUCUAGUUUCCGAUAAUGCAUCGAUAUUUCAAAGCAACGUUUUUCGUAAUUUCCGAAUACCAAAUGGCAUUACUCAAAAAUUUAUUGCACCAGUCCAUCCAACUACCAACAGCUUAGCCGAAAAAUCUUCUAAGAAUCUCUGGUGUUCCUGAUGCUGGUUGCUGUGCAGCUGGCUCUGGGGUAUGAGGUGGAAUGAUAACAUGAAUUGUUGAACGACUCUCAAUUCGAAUUUCGCUAUAAACCGGUUUAGGCUUUGGUGGUAAUUCAGCAAACGUAACUUGCUUUUGAGGCUUAUCGACAUUUGAUUUAUAAAGUUGGUUUAUAUGGCGUUUAAACUCGUAGCCAUUAUCGAGCCUUAUAUGGUAGUGCAGUUUUCCAAAUUUCUUUUUAACGAUUCCAAACUUUCGAGUCGGUUUGUUUUUGUCGUACCAUCGUACUUGCACUCUGGAUCUCAGGAUAAGAUGGUUUUAGAUUUUUCCAAAGGACGAAUUGCAUCAAGUUUUAUUCGCAACUCGCGCCCUUGAUACAAUUUCGAAGGACUAUUACCAUCGGCUAACGGUGUUGCUCUAUGGCGAAAAACAAUAUCCUGCACUUUCUCAUAUAACGUUGAUUUUUCAUUGCAUUUAAUUUAAUAACUUAAACACAGAAAUUUAUAUCCGUAUUUAGGAUGGGAUAUCUGGGGGGCCGCCCCACCUCCAAAGCCACCAGCCAAAUGAAAUAUUAACCAAUAAUGACAAUAUGGGACUCAAAUGAAAGGUAUUUGAGACCAGAGCACGAAUCUGAUAUAUGGGGAUCCGCCUCACCCCCCCCCCCCCAAAAAAAAAACCCCAUACCGGACAUAUUUACCGACCAUAGCAAUAUAAGGCUCCAAUAAAAGGUAUUUUGGAGAAGAGCACCAAUACAAUAUCCACAUUGGCGCGAAAUAUCUGAAAGGCCGUACCACCACUCCCAAACAGGACUUAGUUCCUGAAGUGACCGCAAAGGGCUUAGAUAAAAUAAGAAAGUGAAAGAAGGAGUAGCGGAGCGGGCCAUGUCCAGCUAGUUAUAAUAUAUUUAAUAUACUCCAAUAUUAAAUAAAGGACAUCUUCCAUUAUAUACAAAUGAAA
Molecule: long non-coding RNA, 3312 nt
Organism: Stomoxys calcitrans (stable fly)
Lineage: Eukaryota; Metazoa; Arthropoda; Insecta; Diptera; Muscidae
Exons: 2
Source: RefSeq, a predicted model, not a curated record